ACCUAAUAUGGUGCAGUGGUUUGAGUGUUGGACUGCAACUCUAGAGACCAAGGUUCAAUUCCCCGCUUGGGCA
Molecule: non-coding RNA, 73 nt
Organism: Phrynosoma platyrhinos (Desert horned lizard)
Lineage: Eukaryota; Metazoa; Chordata; Lepidosauria; Squamata; Phrynosomatidae
Source: the annotation of a GenBank genome assembly